UACGUAGGUGGCUAGCGUUGUACGGAUUUACUGGGCGUAAAGAGCGCGCAGGCGGUCGUUCAAGUCGAGUGUGAAAGCCCCCGGCUCAACUGGGGAGGGUCACUCGAUACUGAUCGACUUGAAGGCGGGAGAGGGAAGCGGAAUUCCCGGUGUAGUGGUGAAAUGCGUAGAUAUCGGGAGGAACACCAGUGGCGAAGGCGGCUUUCUGGCCCGUUCUUGACGCUGAGGCGCGAAAGCUAGGGUAGCAAACGGG
Molecule: ribosomal RNA, 253 nt
Filed under: uncultured bacterium
Lineage: Bacteria
Description: partial 16S ribosomal RNA
Rfam family: Bacterial small subunit ribosomal RNA
Source: RNAcentral